AGCAGCCGCGGUAAUUCCAGCUCCAAUAGCGUAUAUUAAAGUUGUUGCAGUUAAAAAGCUCGUAGUUGAAUUUCGGGAUUGACGUGAUGGUCAUGCCUUAAGGGGUAUGAACUGUUACAGUUGAUUUCUCACCUUCUGGAGAAACUUGAUGUCCUUUAUUGGGUGUCUUGCGGAUCCAGGACCUUUACCUUGAAAAAAUUAGAGUGUUUAAAGCAGGCAUUUUUGCUCGAAUACAUUAGCAUGGAAUAAUAGAAUAGGACGGCAUGGUUCUAUUUUGUUGGUUUCUAGGACCACCGUAAUGAUUAAUAGGGAUAGUUGGGGGCAUUAGUAUUCAAUUGUCAGAGGUGAAAUUCUUGGAUUUAUUGAAGACUAACUACUGCGAAAGCAUUUGCCAAGGAUGUUUUCAUUAAUCAAGAACGAAAGUUAGGGGAUCGAAGACGAUCAGAUACCGUCGUAGUCUUAACCAUAAACUAUGCCGACUAGGAAUCAGACGAUGUUAAUUUUUUAAUGACUCGUUUGGCACCUUACG
Molecule: ribosomal RNA, 529 nt
Filed under: uncultured Entrophosporaceae
Lineage: Eukaryota; Fungi; Glomeromycota; Glomeromycetes; Entrophosporales; Entrophosporaceae
Description: SSU rRNA
Rfam family: Eukaryotic small subunit ribosomal RNA
Source: RNAcentral